UCCUGCAAAACGGAUCGCUUUGACGGU
Molecule: non-coding RNA, 27 nt
Filed under: Rattus norvegicus (Norway rat)
Lineage: Eukaryota; Metazoa; Chordata; Mammalia; Rodentia; Muridae
Source: RNAcentral